GGGAAGGUGGCUCAGUGGUAGAGUGCUUGCCUAGCAUGUAUGAAGCCCUGGGUUCAAUUCCCCUCAGUACCA
This 72-nucleotide transfer RNA is filed under the name Dipodomys ordii (Ord's kangaroo rat). It matches the Rfam family "tRNA". From Rfam's summary of the family: Transfer RNA (tRNA) molecules are approximately 80 nucleotides in length. Their secondary structure includes four short double-helical elements and three loops (D, anti-codon, and T loops). Lineage: Eukaryota; Metazoa; Chordata; Mammalia; Rodentia; Heteromyidae. The record is from Rfam by way of RNAcentral.